CCUACGGGAGGCAGCAGUAGGGGAAUCUUGCGCAAUGGGCGAAAGCCUGACGCAGCAACGCCGCGUGCGGGAAGAAGGCCUUCGGGUUGUAAACCGCUUUUGGCAGGAACGAAAAUGACGGUACCUGCAGAAUAAGGUGCGGCCAACUACGUGCCAGCAGCCGCGGUGACACGUAGGCACCAAGCGUUGUCCGGAUUUAUUGGGCGUAAAGAGCUCGUAGGCGGUUCAGUAAGUCGGGUGUGAAAACUCUGGGCUUAACCCGGAGACGCCACCCGAUACUGCUGAACUUGAGUUCGGUAGGGGAGCGGGGAAUUCCUAGUGUAGCGGUGAAAUGCGCAGAUAUUAGGAGGAACACCGGUGGCGAAGGCGCCGCUCUGGGCCGAAACUGACGCUGAGGAGCGAAAGCGUGGGUAGCAAACAGGAUUAGAUACCCUGGUAGUCCACGCCGUAAACGUUGGGCACUAGGUGUGGGUUCCAACCAACGGAAUCCGUGCCGUCGCUAACGCAUUAAGUGCCCGCCUGGGGAGUCGGCCGCAAGGCUAAAACUCAAAGGAAUUGACGGNNGAGANGCAGCGACACGAGGAGAG
RNAcentral lists this ribosomal RNA (587 nucleotides) under uncultured bacterium. RNAcentral describes it as "bacterial SSU rRNA". It matches the Rfam family "Bacterial small subunit ribosomal RNA", at positions 338 to 946 of the family's 1533-position model. The record is from RNAcentral.